UGGGGGCCAUGUUCACCAUGAUGUCAUAAACAACCUCAAAAUUCUAAGUUGUCCUGACAGCCUCCAUGCACACAGAGUUUCAGAGCCAUCUCAGACCAGUCUGACUCCUCCCCCUUUCCAGAAGUGCAUCGCUGAGCUCACAUCUGCUGGCAAUGCUCCUGUAUUUGCUGUGGAAGUCUGGCCCUGUCUAACGUCCCUGCCCAUCUGCCUCUACACUACCUCGGACGCCUGCUCCAGAAUGACUGAAGCAGUGGUGAGCAGGCUCACCCCCAGGAUUCCACCCGGCCCACCCCAGGCCACAGACCCAGAAGAAGUGCAUCGCUGAGCUCACAUCUGCUGGCAAUGCUCCUGUAUUUGCUGUGGAAGUCUGGCCCUGUCUAACGUCCCUGCCCAUCUGCCUCUACACUACCUCGGACGCCUGCUCCAGAAUGACUGAAGCAGUGGUGAGCAGGCUCACCCCAGGAUUCCACCCGGCCCACCCCAGGCCACAGACCCAGAAGAAGUGCAUCGCUGAGCUCACAUCUGCUGGCAAUGCUCCUGUAUUUGCUGUGGAAGUCUGGCCCUGUCUAACGUCCCUGCCCAUCUGCCUCUACACUACCUCGGACGCCUGCUCCAGAAUGACUG
RNAcentral lists this long non-coding RNA (624 nucleotides) under Equus caballus (horse). RNAcentral describes it as "lncRNA (ENSECAG00000044766.1)". Lineage: Eukaryota; Metazoa; Chordata; Mammalia; Perissodactyla; Equidae. The record is from RNAcentral.